GACGAACGCUGGCGGCGUGCCUAAUACAUGCAAGUCGAGCGAACGGACGCUAAUCUUGCUUCUCUGAUGUUUGCGGCGCACGGGUGAGUCACACGUGGAUAACCCACCUAUCAUAGUGGGAUAACUUCGGGAAACCGGCUCUAAUACCGGAUGAUAUUUUGCACCUCAUGGUUCAUAAGUGAAAGACGUCGUUGCUGUCACUUAUAGCUGGUUCUGCGCUGCGUUAUCUAGUUGGUAAGGUAACGGCUUACCACGGGUACGAUGGAUAGCCGAACUGAGCGGGGGGUCGGCCACACUGGAGCUGGGACACGGUCCAGGCUCCUACGGGAGGCAGCAGUAGGGAAUCUUCCGCAAUGGGCGGAAGCCUGACGGAGCAACGCCGCGUGAGUGAUGGAGGUCUUCGGAUCGUAAAACCCUGUUAUUAGGGAAGAACAGAUGUGUAAGUAACUGUGCACAUCUUGACGGUACCUAAUCAGAAAGCCACGGCUAACUACGUG
Molecule: ribosomal RNA, 497 nt
Filed under: uncultured bacterium
Lineage: Bacteria
Description: partial 16S ribosomal RNA
Rfam family: Bacterial small subunit ribosomal RNA
Source: RNAcentral